This 71-nucleotide transfer RNA is filed under the name Cavia porcellus (domestic guinea pig). It matches the Rfam family "tRNA". Rfam says of the family: Transfer RNA (tRNA) molecules are approximately 80 nucleotides in length. The record is from Rfam by way of RNAcentral. Lineage: Eukaryota; Metazoa; Chordata; Mammalia; Rodentia; Caviidae.
CGGGAUGUAGUUCAGUGGUAAAACACUUGCCUACCAUGCAGGAAGUCCUGGGUUCAAUCCCUUCUUUCUGC